UAAACGCUGGCGGCGUGCUACACAUGCAGUCGAACGGGACCGGGGGCACUCCGGUUCAGUGGCGGACGGGUGCGUAACACGUGAGGAACAUGACCUUCGGCGGGGGAUAGCCGGCCCAACGGCCGGGUAAUACCGCGUACGACCUUUCGGGGACAUCCCUGGUAUGGUGAAAGCAGCAAUGCGCCGAUGGAGUGCCUCGCGGCCUAUCAGCUAGUUGGUGGGGUAACGGCCUACCAAGGCGACGACGGGUAGCUGGUCUGAGAGGAUGGCCAGCCACAUUGGGACUGAGACACGGCCCAGACUCCUACGGGAGGCAGCAGUGGGGAAUAUUGCGCAAUGGACGAAAGUCUGACGCAGCGACGCCGCGUGUGGGAUGACGGUCUUCGGAUUGUAAACCACUGUCGGGAGGGACGAAUACGCCGCAAGGCGGGUGACGGUACCUCCAAAGGAAGCACCGGCUAACUCCGUGCCAGCAGCCGCGGUAAUACGGAGGGUGCGAGCGUUGUCCGGAAUCACUGGGCGUAAAGGGCGCGUAGGCGGCCUGGUAAGUAGGGGGUGAAAUC
RNAcentral lists this ribosomal RNA (563 nucleotides) under uncultured soil bacterium. RNAcentral's name for it is "bacterial SSU rRNA". It matches the Rfam family "Bacterial small subunit ribosomal RNA", at positions 30 to 601 of the family's 1533-position model. The record is from RNAcentral.